CCUACGGGCGGCAGCAGUGAGGAAUAUUGGUCAAUGGACGAGAGUCUGAACCAGCCAAGUAGCGUGAAGGAUGACUGCCCUAUGGGUUGUAAACUUCUUUUAUAUGGGAAUAAAACGUUCCACGUGUGGGAUUUUGUAUGUACCAUAUGAAUAAGGAUCGGCUAACUCCGUGCCAGCAGCCGCGGUAAUACGGAGGAUCCGAGCGUUAUCCGGAUUUAUUGGGUUUAAAGGGAGCGUAGGUGGAUUGUUAAGUCAGUUGUGAAAGUUUGCGGCUCAACCGUAAAAUUGCAGUGGAAACUGGCAGUCUUGAGUACAGUAGAGGUGGGCGGAAUUCGUGGUGUAGCGGUGAAAUGCUUAGAUAUCACGAAGAACUCCGAGUGCGAAGGCAGUUCACUGGACUGCAACUGACACUGAGGCUCGAAAGUGUGGGUAUCAAACAGGAUUAGAUACCCUUGUAGUC
This 460-nucleotide ribosomal RNA is filed under the name uncultured bacterium. RNAcentral's name for it is "partial 16S ribosomal RNA". It matches the Rfam family "Bacterial small subunit ribosomal RNA", at positions 338 to 795 of the family's 1533-position model. The record is from RNAcentral.